UUAUUUUUUUUAUAUUUUUAGUUGUAGUUGAUAACAUCCCAGUUUAAUUCACAAUCUUUUCUGACAUAUAUCCACAUAAAUUUGAGGUCCCUUUUCUGAAAAUACACUAAAAUUACUCAUGCUUGCCUGUAAUGUUGUAAAAUGUUGAUGAGAGAACACUUACAAACGCACACCACUAUUUAAGCACACUUACUUUCUCUUUAAAGAAGCAAAGUGGCUCAAAUAGGAACCAAGCUCAAGAAACUACACAAAAACCAAGUGAGAUUAAAGGUGUUAACUUCACCAACCUGUUGCUCCCAUCUGUUAGCAUUUUUAUCUUUCAGACAGGGAGUCACUGUACAGCCCAGGAUGGCCUGCUGGAGUUCCAGGCCCAACAUCACAUCCAGGUUCUCCUCUCUCAAAUAUCUGAACCCUCGGUGUGUCUGGGUUUAAACUCUCCCAGUGUUAAAUGGAAGGCUGCCAUGGAUGGAGAUAUUGUCACAAUAAGAGACAAUAUAGAAUAGAGAGUGUAAGGCAAGCAAACAGCACACUGGGUGCUGGCCAUGCUCACACUCCAGUUAGACCAGACUACCCAGGCUCGCUGGGCUCAAAGGCUGAUCUGGACCUUGUGGGUCAUUCUUACUUUAUUGGGUUUUCUUUUGUUUCACAGUUGCUCGUUCCACUAUUUUGUAAUUAUGGCGAGGCCAGAGCUUUUGUUAGUCUAAGAAUACUGAGCCACACCUCAAAUGUCUGCCUCAAAUGUUUUUAUCCUUCUGAACAAAUGCCUGAUUUCCACCUACAAUUAUUUUAAAAGAUAUACAGUAAGUCAGCUGAAAAGAGAGGUGGGGUAUGGGGCUAAGGACUGCCACCACCCUUGGGCACAGCACUGAGGAGUGGGUUGCUCAGUGGUGGUGGUUAGGACCAGCUAGUGAGUCUUCUCCAGGAAGGCCUUGCAGCACCUAAGGCAUUGCUGGUACACCACCUCGAAGUCAGAGUCAUUGCCAUAAUAGG
Molecule: long non-coding RNA, 990 nt
Filed under: Rattus norvegicus (Norway rat)
Lineage: Eukaryota; Metazoa; Chordata; Mammalia; Rodentia; Muridae
Description: long non-coding RNA NONRATT024343
Source: RNAcentral